CCUACGGGGGGCAGCAGUGGGGAAUAUUGCACAAUGGGGGGAACCCUGAUGCAGCCAUGCCGCGUGUGUGAAGAAGGCCUUCGGGUUGUAAAGCACUUUCAGUAAGGAGGAAAGGGAUGUAGUUAAUAACUGCAUUCUGUGACGUUACUUACAGAAGAAGCACCGGCUAACUUCGUGCCAGCAGCCGCGGUAAUACGAGGGGUGCAAGCGUUAAUCGGAAUUACUGGGCGUAAAGCGUUCGUAGGCGGUUGAUUAAGCAAGAUGUGAAAGCCCAGGGCUCAACCUUGGAACUGCAUUUUGAACUGUUCAACUAGAGUACUGUAGAGGGUGGUGGAAUUUCCAGUGUAGCGGUGAAAUGCGUAGAGAUUGGAAGGAACAUCAGUGGCGAAGGCGGCCACCUGGACAGAUACUGACGCUGAGGAACGAAAGCGUGGGGAGCRAACAGGAUUAGAUACCCUGGUAGUCCACGCCGUAAACGRUGUCAACUAGCCGUUUGUGUCCUAAAGACGUGAGUGGCGCAGCUAACGCACUAAGUUGACCRCCUGGGGAGUACGGCCGCAAAGUUAAAACUCAAAUGAAUUGACGGGGGCCCGCACAAGCGGUGGAGCAUGUGGUUUAAUUCGAUGCAACGCGAGGACCUUACCAUCCCUUGACAUCCAGAGAAGAGAUUAGAGAUAGAUUUUGCCUUCGGGAACUCUGUGACAGUUGCUGCAUGGCUGUCGUCAGCUCGUGUUGUGAAAUGUUGGGUUAGUCCCGCAACGAGCGCAACCCUAUCCUUAUUUGCCAGCAAGUAUGUCGGGAACUCUAAGGAGACUGCCGGUGAUAAACCGGAGGAAGGUGGGGAYGACGUCAAGUCAUCAUGGCCCUUACGGGAUGGGUUACACACGUGCUACAAUGGCAGGUACAGAGGGCAGCGAUACCGCGAGGUGGAGCGAAUCCCAGAAAGYUUGUCGUAGUCCGGAUUGGAGUCUGCAACUCGACUCCAUGAAGUCGGAAUCGCUAGUAAUCGURGAUCAGAAUGYUACGGUGAAUACGUUCCCGGGCCUUGUACACACCGCCCGUC
Molecule: ribosomal RNA, 1063 nt
Filed under: uncultured bacterium
Lineage: Bacteria
Description: bacterial SSU rRNA
Rfam family: Bacterial small subunit ribosomal RNA
Source: RNAcentral